RNAcentral lists this ribosomal RNA (281 nucleotides) under uncultured bacterium. RNAcentral describes it as "partial 16S ribosomal RNA". It matches the Rfam family "Bacterial small subunit ribosomal RNA", at positions 32 to 290 of the family's 1533-position model. The record is from RNAcentral.
AAUCAACGCCGGCGGCGUGCCUCAGACAUGCAAGUCGAACGCUGCUGUUCGCCUUCGGGUGGACAGCGGAGUGGCGCACGGGUGAGUAACACGUAGGUAAUCUACCUUUGGGUGGGAGUAACAGCCGGAACGGCGUGCUAUACCGCAUAAUGCAGCGGCAUCACAUGAUGACAGUUGUUAAAGUACGAGGGAGUCGUAAGACCUCGCGCCUGAAGAGGAGCCUGCGGCAGAUUAGGUAGUUGGUGAGGUAAUGGCUCACCAAGCCUGCGAUCUGUAACCGG